Halichondria panicea is the source of this 1630-nucleotide long non-coding RNA. RefSeq lists it as uncharacterized. NCBI's taxonomy places the organism in Eukaryota, Metazoa, Porifera, Demospongiae, Suberitida, Halichondriidae. The record is from RefSeq and is a predicted model, not a curated record. The transcript is spliced from 2 exons.
GUAUCAGGGGCGUACACAGGGUGGUGCUUAGGGUGCUCCAGCACCCCCAUCCAGGCUCUGGUGCUCCAGCACCCUAUCCAGACUCAGAGAAGCUCAAGUAGAUAGUUCAACCAUCACUGGCUGGCUAGAAGGAAGCUACACUUACUGCAACUAUCUACAGCUUAAUAGUGAUAGUUACAAUAACUUUAUACCAGUUAGAUCUAGCUAGCUAGCCUAAAAAACUUACUUUUCUUCGAUCGUUACUGGGAUAUCCAUGGGAACUAAUAAAGAGUGGGGAGGGGCUCAAUAAUAAGGCUAGGCAGCAGGAAGUGGUUUGCUGUAUCAAACACUUGAGCUUGCCUCACAACAUGCAGCACAACAAGGUUCUUGGAUCCAGGUACAUGAGGUACGUACUGGUGGUCAUACUUUGUACGCUGCCUGUCACCUCCUGGUAAGCUGAUCAAUCUUUUAGUGGCCUGAAAAGAAAAGAAUCAAGACUGUCGUCAGAUCAAGCAAAGGAACAAAUGUUUAUCAUCACGUAACUUCUACAUUUACACAGAGACUAGACAUGAUUGCAUUGACAUUUGACAUACCUUAAGAAGAGUUGACAUUUGACAUACCUUAAGAAGAGUUGGCUAGAGUUUGACAUCCCAGGCGAAUUGAGCUUCUGGUCGUAAACAUUCUUGACUUGCUGAUGGCACUGUAAAAUACUGUCAGUACUGUGGCUGGCACCAUCUAGAAAACAGUGGGCGUUGCCGACAAAAGGGGCGUGACCCCGGAAGUGGGCGUGGUCUAAAUUUUGCGCGCAAUGAGCACCCACCAUUGAUUGAAUCCUAGGAUCGCCCCUGUGUAUGUAUCUAUCAUUGGCUUUUAUUGCUUAAUACUGUUUUAGGGGCUAGAUCUGUACAUGUGUAAACUAGGCCCUGAUAAAUUAUGCUUUUAUUCAUCCAUUACUCUUUAAGUAUAGGAUAGACUACAUCUAAGAGUAGAAUAUGUGUCUAUGUAACCUCCGCGGUUGCGGUUAGCCCGAGGCGCAAAGCCGAGGGAAUCUAACCGUAACCAAGGUGGUUACUAAGACGCAUAUUCUACGAGUGGGUGUGGUCUAUCUAACUUGGACUUCAUUGCGCAUGCGCGAGGCGUGGUUAUAAAAAGCCAGGUUUGGUGCGUAGCAACAGAAAUUGAAUUUGUGCGAGCUGGACGAGCUGGAGAGCUGUGAGAGACACCAGUUGACAGAAAAAGAUAAGAAGACGGCUUCAAAACAAUGAAAAAACUUAGUAAAGCUUGUGAAACGCUUCUUGAAGAUACUGGAAAGAACAGACAAGUAAAAAGAACCUAGAACUAUGCUAGAACUGACUGCAACACUACAAGAAGAAGAAUGAAGCUCUGUGGUGGAGUGGAGGGGGUAUAGAGCAGACUGGACCGGCAUGGAACCUUAAAAAACUCAAUAGAAAAUGUCAAGCGACUGCUAAAGUGUUUUUGAUGCUUCCUGGCCCCCCUUGCCCAUUCCCAACUGGAAAAAGCAAUACAAAGCAACAGUGGACAUGGAAAGAAUGGACUGUUGACUGAACAAACUAUUGCAUACUGUGUUUUUAUAAUGUUUUUGUCAUCUUCUUGUCACUUUCACUAAAAAUUUCAUUUCAACUUUUGAGAA